CGUCCCAGCUCCUUGUUCAAGUGAAAAUCAGCCGGCUCUGAAUGAUAGGAGGCGGUUUGUCACCUGUGUGUUGUGUGAAUAAGUGUCUUUGCCGAAGCUAUAGUUUUCUUUUCUUCUUCUUUUUAUUUCGUUGUAUUAUUUUUUGUGUGAUUUAGAAGGCCUCAAUGUUGUCGGUUUACUCCAAAGAAGAUUGGUUAAAGUACUGGCAUGUCUACUCCAAAAGUGGCGCGAAGAACUAGGCCGUUAACGUACUACACAAAUUUCCAGCAACGAAGAAUCCAUGAGCAUGCAGCUGGCUUUGAAAUGAAGGUUUAGUAUGAAGGUAGGCCAGCCACAACAAAGGAGCCAGUAGCUGCAUUUUUGGUGAAGCCUUCAGAGGGUGAAUGAGUAAAUAGACCAAAACUGGAAUGUCAUGGCCACCACGGAUGGAAGCUUCACAUGUUAAGUGGUACUUUAUUAGACUAGUUGUCGAUGUAGAGCCUUUUAGCCUCAUUCAAGCUGGAUAUCUACGGUAUUCAAGGCUGUGUAUGACAUAAGAUGGUGCAAGAUUUUUAUAAAAUGGACCAUUAGACAGCGAUGUGCAGCAGCAGGUUGUCCUAUCAGACUGGAGUAUCCGAAUUAGCUGGUCGUCAAUGGUGUAUUUACUGAGGAAUUGGGAAGCACAUGGUGGUUGGUUGAAUGAAGGAGCACUUGCUUGGACGACAGCCAUAUUUUGCUUGAUCCGAUACUUCAUGGUAUUCCAAAAAAGUCAGGGAGGUUGGAGUUUAAUAUAAAGGAAAGUGUGACCGGUUUUUAGUGAACCUUAGUCAUUGAGAUUAGGAGACACGGGUAUAAGAUCAUGUAAAGAAUCCCAAGAAUCAAGAAUGCAAGAAUCCAGUCUUAAGGAGAAUGCAAGAAUCCAGUCUGAAGGAGAAUGCAAGAAUUCAAGAAUAGAAUAAUUCAGUCUUAAGAAGAAUCCAGUCUACAGGAGAGAAGGGGAUGCAUUGAAGAGAAUCCAGUCCCAAGCAGAAUUAUCUAGUCCCAGGGAGGAGAAAUUAAGUUACAGGAGAGAAGGGGAUGAAUUAAAGAGAAUCCAGUCUCAAGAAGAAAUCCAGUCUACAGGAGAGAAGGGGAUGAAUUAAAGGGAAUCCAGUCUACAGGAGAGAUGAAUUAGAGAAUCCAGUCCCAAGAAGUAUCUACAGGAGAGAAGGGAAUUUAAGAGAAUCUAGUCUCAUAGGGAUAUGAAUUGAAUAAAAAAAAAACCUGGCGAGAUAAGGGAUUAUGGAAAAUAGUUUUAAAAUAACCAUUUUAUUCUUCUCUCGCCUGGGUUUGUUUUAAAGUAAACCCAGGUGAGAGAAGAAGAAUAUGGUUGUAAUAUUGUUUUAUUUUCCAAUUUUCCUCAAUUUGUAUGCCACAUUUUUACCUUAGAAUAGAACUGAUGGUUUGGUUUGUCGUAUUAAAUCUUAUUAAUCUGGGAAUUCUUAAAAUAGUUGUUAGGACACCCCUUCCUUUUUUAUGCUGGCAUACCACGAUCAUUAGUUUUUCUUCACCUUUUCUUUAUCACGUCUCCUAGAAGUCUCUCGUCUUCAUGAAGUAAGGAACCUCCCCUAAUUCUCCUGUCUACAUGAAGUAGUUCUUUAAUUGUUAACAUUUAUGUAGGAAUAUCGCCUCUUCAGUGUAAGAUGAACAUUUUCCUUAUCCAACCCCCCACCCCUUUUUUUUUUUUGCUCGCAUGGUGUUAGAACACCACCUCUGGUUUUUUGAUGUUGGAUUACCACCACCUCUUGAUUUUGGAAUGUCACAUGUCUAUCACGUCGUCUGGAAGUUAAACCACCACCACCUCCAAGUUUAAAUAUCACCACCAUUACGUAAGAAGAUCUCCUUUCUGUCCAUGUCUUGAUGUUGGAAUGCUAUCACCUCUUGAUAUUUCUAGUUCCUACAAAUGUUAAAUUGUUCCGACACGGCAUACAAACCUUCGGUCCUUUUACAAUAGGAAGGUACUAGCGGCAGCUGGAUAGGUCGUAAGCUUUCGAACAAGGGGUUCGGUAG
Molecule: long non-coding RNA, 2028 nt
Organism: Macrobrachium nipponense
Lineage: Eukaryota; Metazoa; Arthropoda; Malacostraca; Decapoda; Palaemonidae
Exons: 4
Source: RefSeq, a predicted model, not a curated record